RNAcentral lists this long non-coding RNA (1994 nucleotides) under Populus tremula. RNAcentral's name for it is "long non-coding RNA (PTRE_LNC001435)". Lineage: Eukaryota; Viridiplantae; Streptophyta; Magnoliopsida; Malpighiales; Salicaceae. The record is from RNAcentral.
CAGCCAUAAUAAUACCAUGGAGCUUGACAGCUUGUGAGGUCAAAUAAGUUUAUGGAAACUGUACUCUGGGAGAGAGAGAGAGAGAGGUAUAGAGAGAGAGAGAGACUGCUUUCACUCUAAUUGUUUUGCAUUGACAAGAAAAUCCCGACUUUACAUCAGCUACCUGCAAGAUUUCUUUUUUUUGGGUUCAUUUUUCAUUUUUCUUUUAUCCUCUGUUUUAAGGGGAAAAGGUAUUGAGUUCAGAAGUUUGCAGUGUUCUCUGCAAAUUUCACCAAAAACCUCAAAAUUGAGUAUCUGCAGUGACGGAGCCAAAACUUUUUCUAUGAAAGGACAAAUUAAUAAUAAAUACUGAAAUUUUUUAAUAUAAUUUUUUUUUAAUUUAAUUAACAUAACUUGAAGUUUUGAAUGAUUAUUCAUCCUUAAAAAAUUUAUACUUGAAAUAUUUUUAUAAUAACGUGUUAAUUUAAUUGAUGAACCUAGUGGUUUUAUUAUUAUUAUUAAUGUCUUCAUAAUAAUUAACACAAUAAUAAAGUCAGUUGAAUUGCAUAAUAAUUCUAAAUCUUUCAUAUGAUAUUCGUAUCAAAAUACACAUCAAUUUAUCAAAACUCAUUUCAAUUAUAUAUAUAUAUAUAUAUAUAUAUAUAUAUAUAUUGAUUAAAUUAUACUUAAUCAGUUUUAGACAUUUUAAUUAUUUCUACACACACACAUACAAAAGUUGUACAAACUUACUAAGUCAAAUAUGUGAAACAAGUUUUAAUAUUAUACUCUAGUUUCAAAUAAGAGAAAAUACUAAGAGAGAGAAAGUGUAACUUAUGGAAUUUAAAUCCAUACCCUCUUCUAACUCAAUACCCGUAAAAAUGAAAGGAAAAUAUUCUUAUAGAUGUUCUUAAGAUAAUUUUUUGUGAUAGAUCAUUUCUUUUUCUUCUUUUUUCAAUUAUAAAAAAUGAUGUCUUUAAACACAUUUUCUUUUUCUUUUUUUCUUAUAAAAUCAGUGUAAUUUCUUAUUACUGAAUACACCUUGAGUUUUGUUUUUUAUAUCAAAUCAUACUUUUCGAUUUUUGUUUUAUUAUUUCUAUAUGAGCAUAAUAUCAAAGAAAAAAUAACAAUUAUGUCUUCCUAUCCUUUCCGAUUCAUGUAAUGGAUAAAAAACAGGAUGAUUUUUCUAAUGCCCGAAAAAAAAAAGAUUUUUAUUAUUUCAUAUGCACCAGGUAUUUUACUAGACGAAGAAGGUGCCACGCGGGAUAUUGAAGAUCAGAUUGCUCAGUGUGACAAAGAUAUUGAGACAAUUUUGAAGGGUAUUUUUCUUGGUUUUUUGAGUCGCUGCAUUUUCUAUUUUUAAACUUGUCUCCUAUUUUAGCAGCAUGUUUAUUUUUAAUUUUUAUAUAUAUAUAUAUAUUUAUUUAUUUUUAAUUGUUGACAAUAAAAUAAAUAAUUUUAAGACUUACUAUCAUAAUUUUGAAUCUCCGAAAAAACACUUGGUUUUUAAUUAAAUAAAAUAAUAGCUUGAAUACCCUUUCUUCUUCUGCCUCUCUGAGUAGUUUGAAGUUGAAGAUAUUAAACAAACAUCUUGGAAACUAUGAAAAAAUAUGCAAGAACAUUGUCAAUCAGAAAGAGACUAAUUUAUACCAGCGAUGCUUUUGCUGAAAUUCAAACCCAAUUCUUGAUGUGUCUGCUUCAGAAAAGAUCCCACUUAGUCCUCCCUGUAAAAGAAUGCCACAUUGGAUUUGCCACCAGCCAUAAUAAUACCAUGGAGCUUGACAGCUUGUGAGGUCAAAUAAACUUAUGGAAACCGUACUCUGGGAGAGAGAGAGGUAGAGAGAGGGGGGGAGAGAGAGAGAGGGAGGGGGAGAGAGAGAGACUGCUUUCACUCUAAUUUUUUUGCAUUGACAAGAAAAUCCCGACUUUACAUCUGCUACCUGCAAGAUUUCUUUUUUUGGGUUCAUUUUUCAUUUUUCUUUUAUCCUCUGUUUAAAGGAAAAAGGUAUCGAGUUCAG